Molecule: long non-coding RNA, 983 nt
Organism: Alligator mississippiensis (American alligator)
Lineage: Eukaryota; Metazoa; Chordata; Crocodylia; Alligatoridae
Exons: 3
Source: RefSeq, a predicted model, not a curated record
CUGCUGGGACGACAGGCUCCUGGCUAGAGGGUCUUGUCCCUCUGCUCAGGGUCCCCGUUGGGAUGGUGGGACCUGCCGGGCGGGCACCAGUUCUCCGGCCCUGUGGGGUCCAGGGAGCUGCCCUCUAGCCCGCUGCUCUCUGUGUGUGCAGACCGUUCGUCGGAGGCUGAGGCAGAUACUGGGAAGAGCCAAGCUGGGAGCAGCUUGGGGACACGUGGAGGAGACACCACCACGCCAGUGCACACAGCCCAGACCUGCAUGUCCUGCACCAUCCUGGAUCUCCGAGGAGCCCGAGGAAACGGAGGACCCUGACGCUGCCUUCAUGCAACCUCCCAGCCAUGCUGCCGUGGGGGAUGCCUUCAUGGGGCCGUUGCCGUUGGCCUGCCUAAGGGAGACCUUUGUGCUUUUGCAGGAAGAUGGCGUGGCUCUCCCCAGCCCAGCCUGGCACCCCCCUAAGUCCCCACCAGGACAGGCAGAUGGGUGUCAGAGUCAGCCCAUGCCUGUGCCAGUGCUGGAGCUGGCAGUUGCCCGGCAUCUGGGCUUACACAUCUGGUGCCUGGAGCUGCAGCGCCACCUGGGCCUCCCCAGCCCGGAUGCCAAGUCACUGCCCGUCUGAUCCCCCCAGUGCCGCUCCGGUGCCCCCGUCCCACAUACGCUGAGAGACGCCGGCUCUGGAAGAGCAUCUCCCGCACCCCUCGGGAUUCCCGCGCAGCCCUGCGGGUCUCGCACCCGCUGCCCGCCCUGCCUGAGGAGGCGCCACAGUGUGAGGAGGCUGAGGCCGUGAAGACAGAGGAGCCUGGAUCCAACCCACGGGAUAAGGCCGCGCGGCCUCCGGGAUUGGACACCCAGGAGCCCUGUGUCUGCCUCCCCAAGCCCUUGCCCUGCCGGGCCCUGAGGCUCAUGAGCCUCCCUGAGGCUGCCCUGAGCCAGCCCGCGCCCCAUGCUGACACCAGUCUUUCCAGCAGGGGAGCCCGGAGACACAG